GCAGCCGAGCAGAGUCGAUCAGAAUGAGAUUACUCCAACUGAAGCAGCUUCAACAUGUCGCCUUUCCCUCAAAACCCAUCAUCUCAUUCGUCUUCCAAACUCCCAUUGCACCACUAUCUUCUUCUUCUUCUAGUGAAGCUUCUCCUGCAUCAAAACCCAUCACCAACUCAAGUCUAACUCAAGAAGAGCUCACAAAGAUCAACCUCCUCCUCCUCCCACGCCUCUGCCUCUCAAACCACCUUCCCACAGCAAUCCACCUCACCUCCACAGUCCUCCUCACAAACCCACCUCCCAAAUCCCUCUCUCUUUCCAUUCUCGUCGACUCCCUCACUUCCCAGCCCGACAUGUCCCUCCCCAUGUCCCUCCUCACCCACCUCAAGCACAAUCCAGCGGCGCAUUCUCACCUCAUCCACAUCACCACCAUGCUCAUUGCUUCGUAUUUCAAGAAGUACAAGCCCAAGGAGGCCUUGAAAGUCUUCAACUGGAUGGUGAGGCCGGGCUCGCCGUGUGUGCUGGAUGAGAAGGUUUGCGGAAUUCUUGUUUAUGGGUUUUGUAAGCAGGGGAUGGUUCUUGAGGCCUUGAAGGUUUUGAGGGCGAUGUUGGGUGUGAAUUUGGUGCCGGGAAGAGAUUUAGGGACGUGGGUUUAUAGGGGUUUGCUGAGAGAGGCAAGGAUUAAGGAAGCGCUGGAAUUAAAUGAGGCUUUGGGCUUGGUUAAGGAUGUUGGUGGUGAUGAGGCUGUGAAGAAGGCUUUGGGAUUGUUGGAUCACAUGAUUGCGCUUUGGACAGACUAGAACAGUAAUUGAAUAGUCCUCCGGAAAAAGACCAAAGUACAAGAAGCAAGACUUGAGGUAGUAAGGCAGGUCCUGAUAACUGAGAGAGAGAAUUUUUGUAAUACUUAAGACCACCUAUGGCAACAAUUGCAAGUGGCAAGCCC
Molecule: non-coding RNA, 934 nt
Organism: Corylus avellana
Lineage: Eukaryota; Viridiplantae; Streptophyta; Magnoliopsida; Fagales; Betulaceae
Source: RefSeq, a predicted model, not a curated record